RNAcentral lists this long non-coding RNA (274 nucleotides) under Linum usitatissimum (flax). RNAcentral's name for it is "long non-coding RNA (LUSI_LNC000849)". The record is from RNAcentral. Lineage: Eukaryota; Viridiplantae; Streptophyta; Magnoliopsida; Malpighiales; Linaceae.
AUUCCUUUCAAUGGCGGCAACGGCGGUGGUCGCACCAUUGCUUCUCCCUCGCUUUAUUUCUCCUUGCUUCCUCCUCUCAACAACAACGACGAUGGCGGUAGCGGCGGAGACAAAAAAUAGAGGUAUACAUCCGCCCUAUCGUCCUACUCCUCUCAUCUUUCGAUUUAAACAAAGCUUGGGCUCUUAUGUCGUCAGAUGACGCCUCUGACAAGUCCUCCAUCAAUAUGCAAGUCUCGAUCUACAAAUAUUAGGUCUUAUUUCUUUUGUUAACAUA